AGAGCGAACGCUGGCGGCAGGCUUAACACAUGCAAGUCGAGCGGGCGUAGCAAUGCGUCAGCGGCAGACGGGUGAGUAACGCGUGGGAACGUACCUUUUGGUUCGGAACAACCCAGGGAAACUUGAGCUAAUACCGGAUACGCCCUUACGGGGAAAGAUUUAUUGCCGAAGGAACGGCCCGCGUCCGAUUAGCUAGUUGGUGAGGUAACGGCUCACCAAGGCGACGAUCGGUAGCUGGUCUGAGAGGAUGACCAGCCUCACUGGGACUGAGACACGGCCCAGACUCCUACGGGAGGCAGCAGUGGGGAAUAUUGGACAAUGGGCGCAAGCCUGAUCCAGCCAUGCCGCGUGGAUGAUGAAGGCCUUAGGGUUGUAAAGUCCUUUUAACGGGAAGAUAAUGACGGUACCCGUAGAAUAAGCCCGGCUAACUUCGCGCCAGCAGCCGC
This 446-nucleotide ribosomal RNA is filed under the name uncultured bacterium. RNAcentral's name for it is "SSU rRNA". It matches the Rfam family "Bacterial small subunit ribosomal RNA", at positions 26 to 518 of the family's 1533-position model. The record is from RNAcentral.